CACAGAGCCACACAAUUUCUGAUGGUUGUCUUUCCACAAUGCUUUGCUAGCUGGGGAUCUACAAUUUACUAAUUCUUGCAGGAUUCUACUUGUGAGAAGUGUCUGUGUGUUUGUAUGUAAGAAUGUUUUUGUAUGGAGUAUGUGUGUAUGAAUGAAGGGGCUGUGUAGUGUUGGCUUUCAAAUGGAGAGGUAUGUUUGUAUGUACUGUUGCCAGUAGAAUGCAGUGGUGUACUUGUGUGUACUAUUGGUGUUUCAAUGCAGUUCUGUGCUUGCGUGUAGACUGUGUGUGUGUUUAAAUUAAGGGAUAUGUUGUUAGUAAUUGUUUGAGCCACAGGGGUGUGUUUGUAUGUGGUAUUGGUGUUUGAAUGAAGGGCAUAUUUGUGUACAGUGGUGGUGUUUGAAUGUAGCGUGUGUUUAUGUGCAGUGUUAGAAUUUGUAUGCUGGGAUGUAUUCACUGCCACACACAUACACAAACUGACACAGGUAUGCAUACACAUAGUUACACAUAUCCAUUAACACACACAAGCAAGUAUCUAUUCACAUAUUUUAGCAACCCUCCUGCUUAAUUAUCUUUUGGGUUCAGGAGGGUGACUUCCCUGGGGUCCAGUGGGAGGUGGGUGGCCAAGACUGAUGGGAAUCUGCAGCAAGUCUGCCUCUCACUCCAUCUUCUGUGCGUUUCAGUUCCACCCUACCUGCAUGGCUCACACUGCAGGCUGAAGGGAAAAGACCAGAACUUACUUUCACCCAGCAAGCUGUGGGGGAGUAUUAAUGUGACAGGCGCCUUAUCCGGUGCACUUUUAAAGGUCCGUGGGGCUCAAUCAAACAGUCCUUCCACUUAGUCACCCAAAGGGCCUUCACCACUGCCCUCACAGUUGCACAGCCACCACCAAAUCGCGCACAUGGUACUUCUUUACCCCUUCCUCCUAGAUGAUAAGUUUGUUUAACUUCUUCACUAGUUAUGGAUGGCAAUUCAUCUUAAUUUGGGUCAAUCGAGUGAUCGGUCAAAUUCUUGAACUCUGAGCUGAAAUGUAACAAAAUGAAAGAAAGAGGUGAUUGAUAGGAAAAAAUAUGAUUGAUUGGCUAGGGGACAGUCAUUAACUGUUGAUUAUAUUCCAUAGAGCACCGUCAAAUUCCGCAGCGCUUUACAAUGGGUGGACGAACAGACAUGUAGUUGUAACCAGACAAGUUGGACACACAGGAACAGAGGGGUUGAGGGCCCUGCUCAAUGAGCUUACAUGCUAGAGGGAGUGGGGUAAAAUGACACAAAAAGGUAAGGAUAGUAUUAGACUAGUGACAGUUGCAGAAG
Pelobates cultripes (western spadefoot toad) is the source of this 1306-nucleotide non-coding RNA. The record is from the annotation of a GenBank genome assembly. NCBI's taxonomy places the organism in Eukaryota, Metazoa, Chordata, Amphibia, Anura, Pelobatidae.